RNAcentral lists this ribosomal RNA (253 nucleotides) under uncultured bacterium. Its description in RNAcentral is "partial 16S ribosomal RNA". It matches the Rfam family "Bacterial small subunit ribosomal RNA", at positions 524 to 776 of the family's 1533-position model. The record is from RNAcentral.
GACGUAGGGCGCGAGCGUUGUCCGGAUUUAUUGGGCGUAAAGAGCUCGUAGGCGGCUUGUUGCGUCGUCCGUGAAAUCCCAUGGCUCAACUGUGGGCUUGCGGUCGAUACGGGCAGGCUUGAGUUCGGUAGGGGAGACUGGAAUUCCUGGUGUAGUGGUGAAAUGCGUAGAGAUCAGGAAGAACACCCGUGGCGCAAGCGGCCACCUGGCCAAGAGCUGACGCUGAGGCACGAGAGCGUGGGGAGCGAACCGG